Podarcis lilfordi (Lilford's wall lizard) is the source of this 82-nucleotide non-coding RNA. The record is from the annotation of a GenBank genome assembly. Lineage: Eukaryota; Metazoa; Chordata; Lepidosauria; Squamata; Lacertidae.
AUGUGUGUAUGUGUAUAUAUGUAUAUAUACACACACACACACAUAUGUAUACGUGUAUAUAUGUAUAUAUAUGUAUAUGUAU